UUUAAUAUAAUUUUUAUUGUAUACGUUUAUUUUACAUUCUUGAUCUUUAUUUUUUAUCAUUUUAGUCGUAUUAAAAGAAAUUUUUACGAUUCGUAUCAUUUCGUGAAAUGGAAUUAUUCAAGGUCGUAUAUUUUUCCGAAUAUACAUACGUAUAUAUCGUGUGCAACGUCUCGCGUGUGUGUUUACUGUUUACUUUUUUUGAUCUAUCGUUUGUAUUUUGCUCGAGGCUAGAAACAAUCCUUAUAACAUUGUGCUUCCAAGAAAUUGGAUUCGUGUCCAAACAUGUUUCGACUUGUCGAACGUAUCCCCUCUCCUUGUUAUUAUUUCAAUGCGCAGAAGCGAAGCGCGAAGAGACAUUAUUCGUUGAUUCGUCGUAGGGAUUAGAAGUUAGAAAUUUUCUCGAGACGUGUAUUCUAUUUAGUGCGUAAUAUUUUAAUAUUAUUCUUUUUAUAAUUAUUUUUUUUCUUCAUUUAUACAUUUGUAUUUAAUUGAAAAUAUCUUUAUUCAAUAUUUAAUCAUUAGAAUAGAUAAUUCUUUGACAACUCAAAUCAUUUUGAGUUCCUUAUUCAUCAUAUAAUUCAAGUGUCGAAUUUAAUAAGAUAACUUAGGUGAGUUUUUAUUUGAUUUGAUUGUUGUGAUCUUGUGACUUUAACGUAAUUUAAUUUCAUACAUUUUAUUCAUUUAUUUAGAAGUUUUGAUUUCUUUUUGUACAGGUUUAGUUGGUAGUGUCAUGAUAGAUCUCCGAAGGCGGGAAAAAUUCCAAUAUGGACGCCAUGUCUUUCGUGAUGACGUGAUAAAAUUUUACAUUUCGUAUGUAUAAAUUUUUAUUUUGUUUUAUUGGAUCUCAAAUAUUCAUAAACAAUUGGUAACAUUUUUAUACACAAUUCGUAACCAAUUAAAAUAAAAAAGCAGUAUUUUCAAGAACAAAUGUUCGAUAGGAAAAAGAAAAAGAAAAAUAUCAAAAAGAUAUUGUUUCUUGUUCUAGUCCUCACCCCAUUACUAAUUUAAUAUUAAUUUCAGAAAAUAUUUGUGACCGCGCGCAAUGCGGUUAAUAGAAUCAGUGUUUGCUUCGUCAGUAGUAUUUUUAAUAUUUUUUAGAGCACAAUAGCUCUGAUUAAAUUUAUUUAGAAUAAACAAAGAAUCGCGAAGAUAGAAUCAGUGUUUUUUCGCCGAUUAAUUUAUACGGACGCGUUAUUAGUUUCUUAUUUUUAUUUUGUUUUUACAAAUAUUCGUUUUCGGUACAGAGUAAAGUCAGUGCUUCUCUCAAGAGAAUAAGGCGAUCAUCCAUCACGCGAAGAGAUGCUGAUAAUCUGCUCUUCAUGAAAGCUUUUCUUGGAUAAUAUUUAAUCUUAAAAAAUAUUUGUGACCGCGCGCAAUGCGGUUAAUAGAAUCAGUGUUUGCUUCGUCAGUAGUAUUUUUAACAUUUUUUAGAGCACAAUAGCUCUGAUUAAAUUUAAUUAGAAUAAACAAAGGAUCGCGAAGAUAGAAUCAGUGUUUGUUCGCCGAUUAAUUUAUACGGACGCGUUAUUAGUUUCUUAUUUUUAUUUUGUUUUUACAAAUAUUCGUUUUCGGUACAGAGUAAAGUCAGUGCUUCUCUCAAGAGAAUAAGGCGAUCAUCCAUCACGCGAAGAGAUUUCUUUCCUCCUCCUACCUGAUGGCAGCCUUCUUCUCGAUGACUUCUAGGUCAGAACACAGCGAAGCCGUUCGUCGCAUCGUAUGGUGAGUCGCAUGGUUUUUGGUUCCUCUGGUCGCUCAAUCAUGUCGUAGGAUGAGAGAUCCGAAUCGACACGAGUGACUGGUUGUAUACGUAGAAUUUUGCACGAGCACAAUGAUCGCGGGUAUUUAUUUAUAAUACCCGUGAGUAGUAACAAUUAUUUCUUUUGUGAUUUAUUAGUUCAGGCUAGAGUCUUCUUAUGCAUCGCGUUUUUGAUUAAUAAUAUUUAGCGAUUUUGUAAAUUUU
Molecule: long non-coding RNA, 1960 nt
Organism: Apis cerana (Asiatic honeybee)
Lineage: Eukaryota; Metazoa; Arthropoda; Insecta; Hymenoptera; Apidae
Source: RefSeq, a predicted model, not a curated record